This is a long non-coding RNA of Cydia amplana, 382 nucleotides long. RefSeq lists it as uncharacterized. The transcript has 2 exons. The record is from RefSeq and is a predicted model, not a curated record. Lineage: Eukaryota; Metazoa; Arthropoda; Insecta; Lepidoptera; Tortricidae.
AAGGAUAUGAAAUAAAAUAGAUUGCGUAAAUUAAUAAGUUUAUUUUAAAAACGUGUACAAAUACCUUAUAGCUGGUGUAUGCGGUUGAUAUUGUAAUACUAAAUCCAAUGUCUUAUUACACCAUAAGACAUCGGCAACUCCUGCGUUCCUUAACAUAACAAUUACGCCUAUGUAACGGGCUUACUUGCGUUCUAAACGAUGCAUCAGUAAUAUCUAUGUAUAUUAGUCUUAAAACAACGUUUUUAUAAAACCUAUCGGCUGUUGCUACAUCACAUGUGUUUAUCCUAACCAUUAAAUAACUGUCGAAACGAAAAACGCAGAAAAUACAAAUAUCCACUGCGCUUUUAGGACGGCAGGAAGGCGCAACGCACCAAAACUAUAA